AGAAUCAACGCUGGCGGCGUGCCUAACACAUGCAAGUCGAACGCGAAAAUCCCGCAAGGGAUCAGUAGAGUGGCAAACGGGUGAGUAACGCGUGGGCGACCUACCUUCGAGUGGGGGAUAACCUUCCGAAAGGAGGGCUAAUACCGCAUGACAUCCCGCUUUUAGAUAAGUGGAGAUCAAAGCUGGGGAUCGCAAGACCUGGCGCUUGAAGAGGGGCCCGCGUCCGAUUAGCUAGUUGGUGAGGUAACGGCUCACCAAGGCUCCGAUCGGUA
Molecule: ribosomal RNA, 272 nt
Filed under: uncultured bacterium
Lineage: Bacteria
Description: partial small subunit ribosomal RNA
Rfam family: Bacterial small subunit ribosomal RNA
Source: RNAcentral